ACAUCGAAAGCUUGCUUUUGAUGGGCGUCGACCGGCGCACGGGUGAGUAACGCGUAUCCAACCUGCCCAUCACUUGGGGAUAACCUUGCGAAAGUAAGACUAAUACCCAAUGACAUCCAUAGAAGACAUCUGAAAUGGAUUAAAGAUUUAUCGGUGAUGGAUGGGGAUGCGUCUGAUUAGCUUGUUGGCGGGGUAACGGCCCACCAAGGCGACGAUCAGUAGGGGUUCUGAGAGGAAGGUCCCCACAUUGGAACUGAGACACGGUCCAAACUCC
This 274-nucleotide ribosomal RNA is filed under the name uncultured Prevotella sp. RNAcentral describes it as "partial 16S ribosomal RNA". It matches the Rfam family "Bacterial small subunit ribosomal RNA", at positions 68 to 339 of the family's 1533-position model. Lineage: Bacteria; Pseudomonadati; Bacteroidota; Bacteroidia; Bacteroidales; Prevotellaceae. The record is from RNAcentral.